Molecule: non-coding RNA, 406 nt
Organism: Manis javanica (Malayan pangolin)
Lineage: Eukaryota; Metazoa; Chordata; Mammalia; Pholidota; Manidae
Source: RefSeq, a predicted model, not a curated record
UCGAAAGAUUGGCAUUAUUAUUCCUGUUUUAUGAAUGAGGGAAUAAAGUGGAGAAACAGUGACUUGCACAAGAUCUUCUGGCUAGAGCUGGAUUUGAACCCAGGCAAUUUCUCUUGUGGCCACCAGUUUUUUUUAAAUUCUGGAAUUAAUACCUGUUUUCAGACUGUCGGGUGCAGCUGUGUGUAGGAGCGGGCCACAGGGAAGAGAAACCGAAUAAACCUCGCUGAACAAGGACUGCAGACGAUCCCAGUGCCCACACUCCCGGCACCGCGCUGCCCACAGAGGCAUGUUGGCCGCGGGAGCACCGGCCACACUGCAGCGAGCCACGGCCACGGGAGCUGAGUGACCGCAGGGCCCGGGGGGACAGUCCAGAGGGGCCCUGGCUGCUCGUUCUCUAAGGAGAAGA